RNAcentral lists this ribosomal RNA (467 nucleotides) under uncultured bacterium. RNAcentral's name for it is "partial 16S ribosomal RNA". It matches the Rfam family "Bacterial small subunit ribosomal RNA", at positions 28 to 507 of the family's 1533-position model. The record is from RNAcentral.
GACGAACGCUGGCGGCGUGCUUAACACAUGCAAGUCGAACGGAAAGGCCUCUUUCGGGGGGUACUCGAGUGGCGAACGGGUGAGUAACACGUGAGUAACCUGCCCUUGACUUUGGGAUAACUUCAGGAAACUGGGGCUAAUACCGGAUAGGAGCUCCUGCUGCAUGGUGGGGGUUGGAAAGUUUCGGCGGGUGGGGAUGGACUCGCGGCUUAUCAGCUUGUUGGGGGGGUAGUGGCUUACCAAGACUUUGACGGGUAGCCGGCCUGAGAGGGUGACCGGCCACAUUGGGACUGAGAUACGGCCCAGACUCCUACGGGAGGCAGCAGUGGGGAAUAUUGCACAAUGGGUGGAAGCCUGAUGCAGCAACGCCGUGUGCGGGAUGACGGCCUUCGGGUUGUAAACCGCUUUCGCUCAUGACGAAGCUUUGUGUGACGGUAGUGGGUAAAGAAGCACCGGCUAACUACGUG